This 50-nucleotide ribosomal RNA is filed under the name Scutigera coleoptrata (house centipede). RNAcentral describes it as "partial 5.8S ribosomal RNA". The record is from RNAcentral. Lineage: Eukaryota; Metazoa; Arthropoda; Chilopoda; Scutigeromorpha; Scutigeridae.
AUUGCGGCCCCCGGUCAUUCCCGGGGCCACGCCUGUCUGAGGGUCGGCAA